CAAACUGAAGAUGGCGACCGGCGCACGGGUGAGUAACACGUAUCCAACCUGCCGAUAACUCCGGAAUAGCCUUUCGAAAGAAAGAUUAAUACCGGAUGGCAUACGAAUAUCGCAUGAUAUUUUUAUUAAAGAAUUUCGGUUAUCGAUGGGGAUGCGUUCCAUUAGUUUGUUGGCGGGGUAACGGCCCACCAAGACUACGAUGGAUAGGGGUUCUGAGAGGAAGGUCCCCCACAUUGGAACUGAGACACGGUCCAAACUCCUACGGGAGGCACAUG
This 275-nucleotide ribosomal RNA is filed under the name uncultured bacterium. Its description in RNAcentral is "partial 16S ribosomal RNA". It matches the Rfam family "Bacterial small subunit ribosomal RNA", at positions 77 to 350 of the family's 1533-position model. The record is from RNAcentral.